AGUGAACGCUGGCGGUAGGCCUAACACAUGCAAGUCGAACGGCAGCACAGUAAGAGCUUGCUCUUACGGGUGGCGAGUGGCGGACGGGUGAGGAAUACAUCGGAAUCUACUUUUUCGUGGGGGAUAACGUAGGGAAACUUACGCUAAUACCGCAUACGACCUACGGGUGAAAGCAGGGGAUCUUCGGACCUUGCGCGAUUGAAUGAGCCGAUGUCGGAUUAGCUAGUUGGCGGGGUAAAGGCCCACCAAGGCGACGAUCCGUAGCUGGUCUGAGAGGAUGAUCAGCCACACUGGAACUGAGACACGGUCCAGACUCCUACGGGAGGCAGCAGUGGGGAAUAUUGGACAAUGGGCGCAAGCCUGAUCCAGCCAUACCGCGUGGGUGAAGAAGGCCUUCGGGUUGUAAAGCCCUUUUGUUGGGAAAGAAAAGCAGCAGGUUAAUACCCCGCUGUUCUGACGGUCCCCAAAGAAUAAGCACCGGUUAACUUCGUG
This 492-nucleotide ribosomal RNA is filed under the name uncultured bacterium. Its description in RNAcentral is "partial 16S ribosomal RNA". It matches the Rfam family "Bacterial small subunit ribosomal RNA", at positions 29 to 507 of the family's 1533-position model. The record is from RNAcentral.